UUCACCGGUGAAGAUAAUGACUGUAGCCGCAGAAGAAGCCCCGGCUAACUUCGUGCCAGCAGCCGCGGUAAUACGAACGGGGCUAGCGUUGCUCGGAAUUACUCGGCGUAAAGGGAGCGUAGGCGGACAUUUAAGUCUGAGGUGAAAUCCCGGAGCUAAACUUCGGAACUGCCUUUGAUA
This 180-nucleotide ribosomal RNA is filed under the name uncultured Brevundimonas sp. RNAcentral describes it as "partial 16S ribosomal RNA". It matches the Rfam family "Bacterial small subunit ribosomal RNA", at positions 435 to 632 of the family's 1533-position model. The record is from RNAcentral. Lineage: Bacteria; Pseudomonadati; Pseudomonadota; Alphaproteobacteria; Caulobacterales; Caulobacteraceae.